Molecule: long non-coding RNA, 216 nt
Filed under: Homo sapiens (human)
Lineage: Eukaryota; Metazoa; Chordata; Mammalia; Primates; Hominidae
Description: HSALNT0299689
Source: RNAcentral
CCACGCGGUAAUGGUAGAGAGACCCUGGAGGUCAGAGGCCUAGACUCCCACCGCCACCUGACCCUGGAGGAAGCAGACUCCUGGAGAUGCAAAGGAUACAGCACAGAGCUGCCAAGACCCGGUGAGUGGGGGCCAGAGCUACAAGACAGAAGGAGCGCAUGGCCUGGACUCUGCAAUGAACUGCUCCAGCAAGGAAUAAACAUCUAUUGUAUUGAG